AAAAACCAAGGCCAGAGUGCAGGGUGAGUGCUGCAUGCCAUAAAACCUUCAACAAAAUGCUUCACACAAAGGAGACCAAAAAUGUAGUGAUGCCUGAUUCUGGCAUGAGUUACUCCGUACACUGCAAAAUGUUUUAAGAGAUGCAAAUUGAUUUACAGGAGCUAUAUAACUCUGAUUAUGUACCAAAUUUAUUAAAUAUACCAAAGCACCAAGAAGCAGGAAAAAAACAAUGAUGUAUGGCUGAAACUGCAGGGAAAUCAUGGUAUCAGAGAUUCUUCAGAGACAAGAACAGUUAUGACUACCUCAACCAGAGGAAAAGCUUCAGUGAGAAGAUAUGCAUUAUUGACACUGGAGUAACUGUACAGGAAGGAGCUCUUGCCUGAAAAAUUGAUUCUCUGGUGUCUUCUCCUUGUUCUCCUGCUUCUUAAUCAGGGAAAUGACAUGUGGUAGCUGUGAUAGUCUAAUUACUGGAAUAAAUUCAGGAUGAAGCUGUUACUCCAUGCUGCAACUCGCAGCCUAUGUCAGACUCUGUGGCAGCCUACAUGGUAGACUCCAAAUCAUAGGAAAUUUCAGGCAGCUGCAUGUGCAUCCAUGUCUUUUCACUACAUGCUUCACUAAGGUAGCAGAGUGCUUAGACUAAAGUAGCAGGGCAAGGCACAGCUUAGUGAUUUGAGCUUUAAGCAGACAGCUUUCUCCUGAUGCAUGGAGAGGAAAAGAAAUUUAACAAGGAUCAAGUCUGAGAGUAGAAUAUAGUGUGGCAUCGUGAACAAUUGCUUUUGAAGCUACACCACUAUAAAAUGUUACCAAUAGCAUAUGUGCAUGCAGGAUAUAAAUGUGGUGUGUAAGAAUGCCGUAUUAUGACUCUCCAAUAAAUUAAGUUCUAGGAAUUCAUCUGUAAUAACUACUUAUUUAUGUGUACAUUUAGCUGGACUUACUGCUACUGAUACACAUAAAAUGAGUUCAGCCUCCAGAUAAGCAGUUUUAUAGGCGUGGGCUUGAGGUUUUUCCUUUGAUCUGAUGCAAAAUAAAGAGAGGAUCUCUAACAUAAGGAAGGAAAUCACUUUAUAUAUCACAUUGUAGAAAUUUGCAUUCCUGUCUCCAGUGGCAUAUUCAAGAGCUAAAAUCAGUUGCAAUUCAGUACUUAACAGAAUAAAUCCUCUCUGUUGUAAUGGUAAGUACUUACUCCACAUUAAUCAGAAGGAAAAGAAAAAAGAAAUAAAAAUAAAGUGGAUACAUAGAAGCUGAAGAGAGAAUUAUCUUCCGUACGUGCAUCCCCCUCAUUUUCCUUUGUGGGAUCAGUAUUAUUUUUGCAUCAGUGUAAAAAUCAACAAGGCAUGAUUAAUCUUUUCCCCAGAUUUGUUAUAGUAUUGUAUUUGUUCUGGAAUUUUGUGUUCUACCCUCAGAGUUCAUUAGUUGCCUUCUCCUUUGACGCCAGAAUUCUGUGCUUUGAGUUUCUACUGAAAUCUGUAUAAUAGAAUUUACUGAAAUGCAAUUACUAGGUUCUUGGUUUCAUAGACCAAGACUGGCACCUUCUGGUGAACCAAUUUAAAUUCACUGCAGAAAUAAAAUAUCCUCAAC
Molecule: long non-coding RNA, 1578 nt
Organism: Gallus gallus (chicken)
Lineage: Eukaryota; Metazoa; Chordata; Aves; Galliformes; Phasianidae
Source: Ensembl